GUUCAGUCUGUCUAGACUGUCCGGUACCGUGUUCGCACUGUCCAGUGCCUUGGCCGGUCGGUCCACUGUCCAGUCUGUCCAGACUGUCCAGACAGUCCAUUGCCGUGUCCGUCCAUACGACUGUCCAGUGCAGCGCCGCGGCAGGUCCGUCCGGCGUCACCGAUCCUGACGUCACGCGGUGACCGUCCCCGUGCCGAGGAGGCGCCGCCAAUCCAGUAAUCCAGCCCCACCGGCCGUCGGCCAGCCAAAUAAACGGCCAGUGCAGCCGCGAAGGCCGCCGCGAGGGGCGUCGGGCCGGCGCCGGCGCUCAGGGGCAGCGCUAGUGGCCGCCGCGGCCGGCGCGAGUGCGGUGUGGACCUGGGGUACGCCCGCGGUACAGGAGGUACUCGAACAUGCAGACAGUUCCGGAGACGGCGCGUGGUACGAUUGCAGAGGUGUGCUCGAGUUGACUUCGCCUUGAACUUUGAAGACAUCUGGGGCCUCGAAAAAACGUCCAGUGUAGGUGUAUAAAUAAGCAACGCCGAAGGUCACCAUCCGGUCGCACAAACAUCAACAUUCCCCCGAGCAUAGCCGAGUUCCUCCAGGCUCCAAUGUAGCAGUGCUUCGCAGUUCGCUGUAUGGAGAGCAUAUUCGUUUUGCCAGCUUGAUAAUACUAAACUAACCCGCAAUGGCACCUAGAGAUGUAAUGUUGAUGAUCACAUGCAACAACGGCGAUCGCAAGCAUGCAAGUCGCCAGAAAGGUGCGUAAAAUCAAGACCGAAAGGUGAAAACUCCCCACUCUUCUUGGCAUAAGGCGGUUGAUAAUAUCUUCUUCAACGUUUAUGUUGAGAUGACAAUAAACGGACCACACAACUUUAGCGCUCACGAUUUCG
This 872-nucleotide unclassified non-coding RNA is filed under the name Amphibalanus amphitrite. RNAcentral's name for it is "transforming acidic coiled-coil-containing protein 2- like, transcript variant X1". The record is from RNAcentral. Lineage: Eukaryota; Metazoa; Arthropoda; Thecostraca; Balanomorpha; Balanidae.